GAUGAACGCUAGCGGCAGGCUUAACACAUGCAAGUCGAGGGGUAUAGUUCUUCGGAAUUAGAGACCGGCGCACGGGUGCGUAACGCGUAUGCAAUCUACCUUUCACAGAGGGAUAGCCCCAGAGAAAUUUGGAUUAAAUACCUCAUAGUAUAGCAGUUUCGCAUGAAACCACUAUUAAAGUCACAACGGUGAAAGAUGAGCAUGCGUCCCAUUAGCUAGUUGGUAAGGUAACGGCUUACCAAGGCAACGAUGGGUAGGGGUCCUGAGAGGGAGAUCCCCCACACUGGUACUGAGACACGGACCAGACUCCUACGGGAGGCAGCAGUGAGGAAUAUUGGACAAUGGGCGCAAGCCUGAUCCAGCCAUGCCGCGUGCAGGAUGACGGUCCUAUGGAUUGUAAACUGCUUUUGUACAGGAAGAAACACUCCGACGUGUCGAGCUUGACGGUACUGUAAGAAUAAGGAUCGGCUAAACUCCGUGCCAGCAC
RNAcentral lists this ribosomal RNA (487 nucleotides) under uncultured bacterium. RNAcentral describes it as "bacterial SSU rRNA". It matches the Rfam family "Bacterial small subunit ribosomal RNA", at positions 28 to 514 of the family's 1533-position model. The record is from RNAcentral.